This is an RNA transcript of Anopheles gambiae (African malaria mosquito), 1742 nucleotides long. It is a transcript of the gene named chitinase-3-like protein 1, with no coding region annotated. NCBI's taxonomy places the organism in Eukaryota, Metazoa, Arthropoda, Insecta, Diptera, Culicidae. The transcript has 4 exons. The record is from RefSeq and is a predicted model, not a curated record.
ACUUUAAAAAUAGAUCGCCCUCGACGAACGCACUCAGUAUCAGUUGAGAAGCCAAAGAGCUCGUACUAGUUGUUUUACUGAACAUAUGUGGUAUUUAUUCCCUGGAUUACGUGUCUUACUAGAACGAACAAUCACCGUCGACGAACGUACUCAGUAUCAGUUGAGGAGUCAAAGCACUCGUACUCAUUACUUUACUGAACAUUUGUGGUCUUCAUUAUUUUUAAAUCGACUGAAUAUGACGAGCAAACCUGUCUUUGGAUUCUACGGUGGAUGGGCCACCUAUCGCAGCGGAAAGGGAAGAUGCACCGUGGAAGACCUAAACCCGGACCUGUGCACCCAUCUUAUCUACGCGUUUGUGGAGCCUAAAGACGAUGGAACGCUCAUCCGAAAGGAUGACAACGAGAAGAAUGUUAUGGACAGCUUUAACGACUUGCGUAAGAGAAAUCCUAGGCUGAAGACUCUUGUGUCGUUUGGUGGUGCCAAUUGUGAUAAAUCUGCGUACGCAAAAGUGGCAGCCGACUCGAUCCUUCGAAACAGCUUUGCAGUAAAUGUGCGUGGCUUCUGUAUACGGUAUGGUUUCAAUGGAGCGGAUAUUGAUUGGGAAUUUCCCGAAAGCAGCUCCGAUCAUAGCAACUUCGUACUGCUGCUGUCGGCAUUGGCAUCUGAGCUACACCCCAACCAUCACGACCUGAUCUUAACCACAUCGGUGGGUGUUAACAGAGAAUACGAUGUAUCCGGAAUUGCCCGACAUGUUGACUAUAUCCUCCUGAUGAGCUACGAUUACAACGGCACGUGGGACCACUACACUGGCCAUAAUGCCCCGCUUUGCUGGGGUACGGUAGAAACCGACUAUCAGAGAAGACUGAAUGUUAAGGCUAGUGUCAGCGAUUGGAUAGGUGGAGGUGCCCCAAAGUCGAAACUGAUCGUCGGCUUAGCCGCUUACGCGUACGUUCACACUGACCUCCACCAGUACUGAGGGAACAAGGCGACCCACCAGCGGUCCAGGUCGCAAGGGACCAUAUACUGAUGAAGCAGGCAUUCUAGCCUACUAUGAGGUAAAGGACAUGUUUGAACAACGUAUGUGGGAUAGCGAGCAGCACGUUCCUUAUGCGGUUAGCGGCGAUCAGUGGGUUAGCUACGAUGAUCCACAAAGUAUUCAAAAGAAAUGUGAAUUCAUCAACAGCGAAGAUCUUGGUGGAGCAAUGAUCUGGUCGAUCGACCAGGAUGAGUUCCAGGAUGGCAAAUUCACGCUGCUGCGUACUGUUGUUGAAUGUUUGAAACCAACAGAACCAGCAUGUUCAAUGAAAUGUGUUGUAUUGUGAGUAGUAUGGGAGAUGCAGACAUAGGUACGAACAUAUGAAGUACUUUGACGUCGUCCGCAAAGUACUCCCAUGAAAUGUGACUUUAUCAAAAAGAAAAAUAAUCGGAGAAGCUGGAUGAGUUCAGGGAGUAUGCAAUGUAUGCAGAAUGAUUGAAUUAGAAAAAUUCUAGCACAGCUCAAACUAAAGCGUUAUUUGAAGCCUCUCUAAUAAUAUAUUAAUUAGAGGAAGGAUUAUGAUUAAAUUUUGAAUUUUGUAGAAGAAACCACUAUACCCUAAAUUCAAUUCUGGAAAUUCUACUUCAACUAGACGUUCAAAUAAGAAGUAUAGCUCCGUCAGGUAAAACUUGUAUGUCACCGUGUCAGAAAGAUAUUUCGUGUAAUCAAAUAAAUGCAAACUUGUAGUAUUACAACUGUUACCAAA